RNAcentral lists this ribosomal RNA (1400 nucleotides) under Triticum aestivum (bread wheat). RNAcentral's name for it is "partial small subunit ribosomal RNA". Lineage: Eukaryota; Viridiplantae; Streptophyta; Magnoliopsida; Poales; Poaceae. The record is from RNAcentral.
UCGGUUCGGUCGAGGCGUGGUGAGGGGUGGGGUGCGAGGUGCUGCGCGCGCUCGCUCGGUACCGGCGGGAGGCGGAGCGGAGGAGGCAGUGGGAGACGGGCCGCCGGCGCCGGCGCAGCGGGAGCAGGCGGCGGCGGCGCGGGGCGCGGCGGAGGAAGCGGACGCGCCAGCGCGCGCCCGAGGGGAGGGAGGCGGAGCGGCGCGGGGCGGCGGCGGCGCCGCUGGAGCCGGCCGGGUCGCGGCGGCCGCGGCUCCGGCGCCGGCUCUUGAUGCGCUGGCGCGAGUGCCUCCACCGGCGGCUCUCGCUGAGGGAGCUGCGCUGGCACCGCCUGUACCUCUUCGACCUCUUCUAGAAGCGCCUCCUCCGGUAGCGGCUCAAGAAGCUGUUGGGGUGGCACGGCGCGCUCCUCUUCUGCCGCGAGUAACUGCUCUAGCGGUUCAGCAGCCUCGACGUCGGCGUGUGGCAGUUGAAGGAGUUGCACCAGUAGCUGUUGUGGGCGCGGUCGGACUACGGCGUCUAGCACGCGCUCAAGCUCUGGCGGAUGUUGCGCGAGUGGCCGUGGCUCCUCCGGCAGCAGUGGAGGCACCACGUCGAGCUCAGCGUCCUGGAGCGCGUCUAGCGGUGCGUGCACGUCUUGUAGUGGCCGCGGCGGUUGCAGGCCUAGUUCUGGGCGGAACUGGGCCUCGAGUAGCGGCCUAAGUGGCACGUCAUGCCGGCGCUGUCGAGGUUGAAGUAGCUGUACUCGCAGGCGUUCGUCUAGCGCCUCUAGUGGAGGCUCAAGCUCUACGGGAGGCAGUUGGAGCUUCAGACUACGAAUCAUUAACUACGCUGUUCCUAAACGUUGUGGGUCAUUCCCGCAACUAGAAGAAGUCUGGACCUCUACGCUGCCUCCCUAAUUCCGUAAGAAAAGACGUUUUAUAUCAUUACUGUAUUUAGUAAAAAAGCCGUCCUCGGUCGGUGACAUUAAAAGAAAAAACGGAAACACGACAACUCUAGAACAUUUUAUUAUACGAGGUUUUAUGAGUUGAUAUCGUCUCAACGAGGAGGUAGAAGUCCGCUGUUUCAAUUGUCGCACAUUACAUAUCGAUACAUAGGCUGGCUAGUUCAACACACGUCUGCACAUAUCGUACACCGUAACGAUAGUUGACCGUUGGUUCUAGUACAACGUAAGACUUAAAGGUGAAGCAGCACAGGUAGGUACUGAAUUUCGAGCUUUUCCGCAGUCCACACUAAACAAGUCGACAAGAUGAAGCCAACGAGGAUGUUUAUGCGUCAAGACACAGAAACAGUGAUACGACACAUCAACAAGACCUUAGGGUAGGGGUUAGGCAUAACACAGAAGGACGUAACGAAUCGGUACCGGUAUGGGAAGUUUCCUCCAGACAUUUAACAUUAGCAC